RNAcentral lists this ribosomal RNA (271 nucleotides) under uncultured prokaryote. Its description in RNAcentral is "partial 16S ribosomal RNA". It matches the Rfam family "Bacterial small subunit ribosomal RNA", at positions 524 to 794 of the family's 1533-position model. The record is from RNAcentral.
UACGUAGGUGGCAAGCGUUGUCCGGAAUUACUGGGUGUAAAGGGCGUGUAGGCGGGGAGACAAGUCAGAUGUGAAAUACCGUGGCUUAACUGCGGGGGUGCAUCUGAAACUGUUUCUCUUGAGUGUCGGAGAGGAAAGUGGAAUUCCCAGUGUAGCGGUGAAAUGCGUAGAGAUUGGGAGGAACACCAGUGGCGAAGGCGGCUUUCUGGACGAUAACUGACGCUGAGGCGCGAAAGCGUGGGUAGCAAACAGGAUUAGAUACCCUGGUAGU